Molecule: small RNA, 55 nt
Filed under: Arabidopsis thaliana (thale cress)
Lineage: Eukaryota; Viridiplantae; Streptophyta; Magnoliopsida; Brassicales; Brassicaceae
Description: ATSL110420
Source: RNAcentral
UUUAAUCGUGAAGAUAUUGCAGCUCUAUCAGUUGUUGGGAAAGAAAAACUCUUAG